RNAcentral lists this small RNA (552 nucleotides) under Saccharomyces cerevisiae (brewer's yeast). It matches the Rfam family "srg1". The record is from RNAcentral. Lineage: Eukaryota; Fungi; Ascomycota; Saccharomycetes; Saccharomycetales; Saccharomycetaceae.
CAGUGCCAUUGUUUGGCCAAGCUAUAUGCAAAUAUCACAAAUUAAAAUUUUGGUUAAACAGUUAGGCUGGACCUAAUAUUUUACAAAAACCUAAGUUUUUUUUGUGGACCCAUUUUCGAUAUCUACUCACAAAUGGAAGUCAAGGGGAACAGCUUCGGUCUCAGCACUUUAAUUAUUCUUCUCGUUCCCACCUAAUUUCGCAAUUUAUUGUCCUUGACUUCUACCACGAGAAAAAAAUUAAGAAAAUGCAACGCUGCCCGUGCAGGGUUUUCUGAGCGGGAUGAAAAAAUCAGACAAAUAUCCAAGUUAUGAGUAAUUACUUUGUUGGAAGGAGGGAGAAGAGCAUAAGGAAAUUCUUAAAACUGUUAUGUAUAUAAAGGAAGAACCAUUUCUAGUUAUUUCACUUUUUGAUACUUGUCAAUUAUCUUAGUAAAAAUACAGAUCUCUAUAAAGAACCACAAAAAAAUCGACAACAAUGACAAGUAUUGACAUUAACAACUUACAAAAUACCUUUCAACAGGCUAUGAAUAUGAGCGGCUCCCCAGGCGCUGU